This 510-nucleotide ribosomal RNA is filed under the name uncultured bacterium. RNAcentral's name for it is "bacterial SSU rRNA". It matches the Rfam family "Bacterial small subunit ribosomal RNA", at positions 29 to 518 of the family's 1533-position model. The record is from RNAcentral.
AUGAACGCUGGCGGCGUGCUUAACACAUGCAAGUCGAACGAAGCACCUCUAAUCGAAGAUUGAGAAAGCUUGCUUUGAUUGAUUCACCUUGAGGUGACUGAGUGGCGGACGGGUGAGUAACGCGUGGGUAACCUACCCUAUACAGGGGGAUAACAGUUGGAAACGACUGCUAAUACCGCAUAAGCGCACAGGACCGCAUGGUCUAAGUGUGAAAAAACUCCGGUGGUAUAGGAUGGACCCGCGUCUGAUUAGCUAGUUGGUGAGGUAACGGCUCACCAAGGCGACGAUCAGUAGCCGACCUGAGAGGGUGACCGGCCACAUUGGGACUGAGACACGGCCCAAACUCCUACGGGAGGCAGCAGUGGGGAAUAUUGCACAAUGGGCGAAAGCCUGAUGCCAGCGACGCCGCGUGAACGAAGAAGUAUUUCGGUAUGUAAAGUUCUAUCAGCAGGGAAGAAAAAUGACGGUACCUGACUAAGAAGCUCCGGCUAAAUACGUGCCAGCCGCAGC